This 274-nucleotide ribosomal RNA is filed under the name uncultured bacterium. RNAcentral's name for it is "partial 16S ribosomal RNA". It matches the Rfam family "Bacterial small subunit ribosomal RNA", at positions 524 to 796 of the family's 1533-position model. The record is from RNAcentral.
CACGUAGGGUGCAAGCGUUGUCCGGAAUCAUUGGGCGUAAAGAGCUCGUAGGCGGCUCAGUAAGUCGGGUGUGAAAACUCUAGGCUCAACCUAGAGAGGCCACCCGAUACUGCUGUGGCUAGAGUCCAGUAGGGGAGUGUGGAAUUCCCGGUGUAGCGGUGAAAUGCGCAGAUAUCGGGAGGAACACCAGCGGCGAAGGCGGCACUCUGGGCUGGAACUGACGCUGAGGAGCGAAAGCGUGGGUAGCGAACAGGAUUAGAAACCCCCGUAGUCC